This is a non-coding RNA of Aegilops tauschii subsp. strangulata, 1611 nucleotides long. The record is from RefSeq and is a predicted model, not a curated record. Lineage: Eukaryota; Viridiplantae; Streptophyta; Magnoliopsida; Poales; Poaceae.
CCUCGUGAAUAGUUAGAAUGAAGCAUCAGAAAUUGUCUUUUUUACACAAGCCACAAAAAACGUCGUUUUUCACCGAAACCUUGUGAACGGACAUAAAAUGUCCGGAUAUACACGCGGGAUUUUUGUUCCGAAUUUUUCAACUUUUCGAAAUGUGUAUUUCGACAAUGGGUGCAUAUGCACCUAGGAGCAAAAAAGCCGUAUCUUUUAUCACCAAUUAUGAAUCUUUGUUUUGUCAAUAUGCUCUCUGGUAUCUCGAUUAUCAUUUUCUCGAACAAACUUCAGGACCUGAGACAUGGAAGGACACAACAGGUAUAGUGGAUAUGAAAAAUCCAUCCAUAAAGAUAGUGUGUGUGAAACCUUCAGAAAGCACUGCAAUUUCAUGUAAUCCCUUAACCAUACCAUGUGGUGCUAGUUUCAAGCCUUGGACUUCCAACAAAUCAGAAUCAUCAGAAGAGGAUUAUACUUUAUCGAUUACUUGGACUUAAGAGACCAAUUAUAGAAAGAAGACAUUAGCUGAGUGUGUUCAGGAAGAAGAGAAUCCCUAAGUUAGAGUUGAAUGCCAUUCCAUUUCCUAAAGAAAGAGAUGCUGGUGAGUAGUAGGAGUAAGGGCCCGGCUAGUGAGAACUACUCCCUCCGUCCCAUAAUAUAAGAGCGUUUUUGACACUAUUGUACUAUCUUUCUGGUGUAAGAGCAUGAAUAAGUGCAGAUGAACAGAAACAUUCAGGUUGUUUGAUCCUCUGUUCAGGAGGCUCACCAGGGUCACACAAGAUUCAGGGCAUGGGGCCAGGGUUCAUACCGGAGGUUCUCGACACGUUGGUCAUCGACCAGGUCGUGACAGUGAGCAUGGAGGAGGCCACAGCAAUAGCCGAUGGCGAGGAGGCUGGCAAGGAAGGAGGGCCUGCUGGUCGGUAUAUCCUCUGGUGCAAACGUCGCUGUUUGCGUCAAGAUCGCAGCGAGAGAAGGGAUCUAGGGCAAGAUGAUCGUUACCAUAUUCCCUAGCACCGGCGAGAGAUAUAUGAACUCUGAUCUCUUUGCGCUUGUGUGGGAGGAAUGUGACAAUAUGACCUUUUGAUGUCAUGGGCCCAUUUAAUCUAGGGAAUAUGGUACGUCUAAAAAGUUUGGCUUCCCAUUUCUGAAGGCUGACAAUGUACACAAUAUGCACACUAUUUUUUUAAUUUUAUUUUGCGAAUGAAAGUACACAAUAUGCACACAUGAGUAUGAAGAUUAAAUCAUUUUGAAGAUACAAAAGGGGUAGGGACUGAAUUACGGAGGCUGAUGGAUCCGCUGUCUGCAAAGGUGUCAUUCAGCAAGUAUUUCAUGAUAGUGGAAUGGUAUUCCUUUGUGCAGAAUGUGAUGUAGUGAUUGAUCCCCAUGAAGUCCAGCGACCCCUUCACCAGAUCGGCCUCUUUCGUCAUGAGCCUCAGCAGCCUUUCUCCGACCCUCGAUCUCAUUGUCGCCGGGUAAUCACCGAAGAAGAAGGGAUCGACAAACCUUUUUGACAUAGCAUCUGUUUAUCUCAGCAAUUCGCAUAAACUUAAAUCUGGAACCUACUACUACUCGGAUUAGCUUUGUUCAUUGUGACUGUAAUCAAUUUAUUAUACAAAACUGCCA